This 599-nucleotide ribosomal RNA is filed under the name Microbacterium schleiferi. RNAcentral's name for it is "bacterial SSU rRNA". It matches the Rfam family "Bacterial small subunit ribosomal RNA", at positions 84 to 697 of the family's 1533-position model. The record is from RNAcentral. Lineage: Bacteria; Bacillati; Actinomycetota; Actinomycetes; Micrococcales; Microbacteriaceae.
UCUGUGGAUCAGUGGCGAACGGGUGAGUAACACGUGAGCAAUCUGCCCCUGACUCUGGGAUAAGCGCUGGAAACGGCGUCUAAUACCGGAUACGAGCUGCGAAGGCAUCUUCAGCAGCUGGAAAGAAUUUCGGUCAGGGAUGAGCUCGCGGCCUAUCAGCUUGUUGGUGAGGUAACGGCUCACCAAGGCGUCGACGGGUAGCCGGCCUGAGAGGGUGACCGGCCACACUGGGACUGAGACACGGCCCAGACUCCUACGGGAGGCAGCAGUGGGGAAUAUUGCACAAUGGGCGAAAGCCUGAUGCAGCAACGCCGCGUGAGGGACGACGGCCUUCGGGUUGUAAACCUCUUUUAGCAGGAAAGAAGCGAAAGUGACGGUACCUGCAGAAAAAGCGCCGGCUAACUACGUGCCAGCAGCCGCGGUAAUACGUAGGGCGCAAGCGUUAUCCGGAAUUAUUGGGCGUAAAGAGCUCGUAGGCGGUCUGUCGCGUCUGCUGUGAAAACCCGAGGCUCAACCUCGGGCCUGCAGUGGGUACGGGCAGACUAGAGUGCGGUAGGGGAGAUUGGAAUUCCUGGUGUAGCGGUGGAAUGCGCAGAUAU